Rattus norvegicus (Norway rat) is the source of this 17000-nucleotide non-coding RNA. The record is from RefSeq and is a predicted model, not a curated record. Lineage: Eukaryota; Metazoa; Chordata; Mammalia; Rodentia; Muridae.
AGGAGGAGGCUUCCUGUGUGCUUCUCAAACGUGCCUCUGAGCUGAGAUGGUCAGACCUGAGUCACAAUCCUGCCCUGCCUUCUGCAGACCAGUCAGAGGGUCCAGAGAGGACAGUGGUGGCCCUGUGGCCCAGAGACACCUAUCCAGGUGAGUCCUGCCAGCACCCGUCUCUUGUUACAUGGACUUAGAUGCUCAAGUGUCUUGCCACAGGGACUCUGAUAAGCUGGAGUCAGUCAUGCCCCAGUGAACACAUCCAGCCAUGGAAGAGGAGAUAUAUCUGGAGGACAGACACAAUCUUAUAAUUUACUCUAAGCCCCACUGUGCGCUCACAGUUGCAUGGGUACCAGCACUGUGGCUUGGCACAGGUGUCGGCCAUCUAACUGGAACCUAGGAGGAAGGUGCCAGGCCUGGGACAAGACAGGCAGGGACGAUGGGGAUAAGACACACCCGAGAAAGAGACUCUCCACGGAGUGUGAGGUGGUGACUCCCUCAGACCCCAACCUGUGAGUGUGCAAUGCUCUGAGGCCUCCAGGUACCCAGUGCAACUCAAAAUGCAAGUCCAGUCUCUCUCGGGAAUGUGAGGCUCAGAGUUGACUUGUUUCUUGAACUUUCUAAGAGUGAGGAGCUGCCUAGCCUCAGGGCCUGCUGGGCUGCUGUCUCACAGGCCUUCCCUUGCCACAGAAGCUUCUGUUUUCCUCGGACUCCUGUACUCUGACACCCCACCGAGGACAGAGCUGUUUCCAUGCUCCUGUACCCCACUGAGUCAGGAUGGCGACAAGUCCAUGACAGAGUUACAUUAAAUGAGUGAAAAAAAUAGAUGACAUCAUCCUAUGAGCCGCCGGAGACCUCUCUCCAGGGAUUCUCUCUACACAGAGACCAGAGGGCUGAAUACUGGGAAUCAAGGUAACCUGAGACACACAGGCCCUGUGACCACAGGGACUAUGACCUUCACAGGUUGGUACACAGCUGGCUCUAGGUUUCCCUGUGUCCUGAGGGAAGGUGGAAACCAGUUUUCAGGGAACUAGCUCUACAGUCACCGAUGGACACACAGUAGCUUGUUACGGACCAGCAGGUCUCCCUGGGGAUCUUGUACAUUCGAGGAUACAGCCUCUGUGGGAGAGACAACUGUCAUAUGGACCUUAUCACUCUGAGGCAGUCCCUGGGGUAGUCAGGGGUCACUGCUGGUGGGAGAACCUGUGGCAUCAGGGCUGAAGCCUCUGGUCAUAUGCUUUGUGUGACUCCAGACCCUUACUCUGUCCUUCUCUAUCCCAUCCUGGACCCCAGGAGGCUGACAGUAUGGACCAAACCAUCAAGGCUCCCAACUCUGGCUUUUGGAGGACUAUAUCAAUGAUAGAGACAUUUCCCAAGGCUUCUCUCUGCCAAGCUGCAAAAUGAAGAAGCUGCCGGGCUCUUGCCUAAGAGUCUCAGCUCUUGCCAGUCAGUCUGUCCUUCCAGCUCCCUUUCGUGAGCUCAGCAUCGCAGAGCCGGAAGGAUGUUGCUCACCCGUAAUUUAUUUAUGCAAGCGGCCUUUCUUGAGUUUCGCUGUGUGCAAUCUCUGCCGUCUACGGCUACCCUAAGGGGCCCCUCGUUUACCACGUAGAGUGUGAGCUUCCAGUACUUAGAAUCGGAGGGCAGAAAGGCAAAAGGGGAGAAGAUAUGGAGGUGGGUUGGAGGCAGGGCGCUGGUCGUAUUAUUUCAGGUUCUAGGCCUGGCUGGAGCAGCCUGACAUGGCCUCAGCUCCAUGGGAACCAUGAGCUGUUCUAUUUCAUCAGAUGACUCAUGAUCCAAAUCCUUUCUUGUAGGGGGAAGAAAACGACCCACAAUCAGGUGCACGGUGAAUUAUGCUUUCUCUAGGACACACUGGUAUCGAUUCUCUGUGUGUGAGGCUGGGCCUGAGCCCCAGGGUGCUGCCAGAAGCAGCUCUGCGUCUUUUGGCUGAUGAGGAGGAGGGAGCAACAGGGAAAGCAUCCAUUUCUAGCCCUUCUCUGGCUGAGGUUUCCUCCUUUCUGGAGGUGUCCAGAGGUUCACGAGGAACUCUGGAUUGACUUUAGGACCAGGGGUAGCCCAUCCUUUGGGGUCCGGCAUGUGCUGUGGGUACCAAUGGGGAGGCAUAACUCAGUCCCAGGAUCAGGUGGGAGCAAGGGCUUAAGGGCAGUCCAUAGGCAGAGGCAGUGGCUACAUUAAUUAGUUGGAGCUGAAGGAACUUAGGGCCACCUGUCAGAGGAGGCCCUGCCAGCUUCAUCACCAACUGUGGGAUACUUUUAAAGAAAUUAAUUAUGUUAUUUAUUUACAUUCCAGCCAUUGCCCACCUCUCAGUUCCCCCCUCCCACAGUUCUACAUCCGACAUACUCCACCCCCGUUCCCUGGAGGAUUGAGCGCAUGCUCUCCCCCUGAGGCCAGACCAAGCCAACCUCUGCUCCUGGUUGGUGGCUCAGUGUCUGGGCGCUGGGUUAGCUGAGACUGCUGGUCUUGCUAUAGGGUCGCUCUCCCCUUCAGCUUCCUAACUGACUCCUCACAGAAGCAGUGUGGUGAGGUAAUCCCUACAGAGUGUGCUUCAGAUGCUCCACCCCCUCAGGAGGAUGUGGUAGCUUUUUCCAGGGCUGGGCCUCAGAGCUCAGGCUGGUCUCAAAGUCUCUCGCUACACAGCAGAGGAGGACCUUGGCCUCCUGGUCCUCCUGCUUCUACCUUGUGAGUGUUGAUAUUAUUAAUCUGAACAGUCCUACAGGGCUCAGAGAGCUCAUAUCUUUUCUUUUCGUAAAACUGGAGAUCGGGUGUGGUGGGGGUGGGGGUCUCCUGUAACCUAGUCUAGACACAAAUUUACUUCAUGGCAGGAGACGUUUGACCUCCGUUCCUGAUCCUCCACACCUCUGGAGCGCUGAGAUUAUCCAGCCCACGCCGCCAAGCUGGGCUUAAACUGUGCUGAGUAGGGAGUUGUGCACACACUAGGCAAGCCCUGUACCAACUGGGCUAUGUCCCCAGAGGAAGUUCCUACCCUUACUUUCACUUCCUCCAACAGUGGCCCCCUGAAGCGCUAUCCUUACUGCUUGUGCUUCAGUGUUUCACCUACCCAAAAUACAUAGUGUGUCAGGUCUCUCCUGCACUAAGCCCGCCCUCUGAGCUCAGGACUUCUAAAUGAAAAUGCUCACAAGCCACCCCCGGGGUCAAAGAACUGGAGCCAAGUCCACAGGGCUCACCUCUCUAGCCCCUCCCUUCCUCUCCCCUCCUCAUACAAAGCCGCUGAGGUACUUGUCACUCACGGAGGAGGUACUCGGAGCUGUCGUGGUCAUAAUCGUUGUCCUCUGGGAAGUGGUUGAUCCGGAAGCAGUGCCCCUUGUAGAUGCCUGGAGGAAACGAGGGGGAAACACAGGCUGUGAAUGUCCCGUGGGUUCAGACAACCAUUUGUUCCAGACAUGGCAGGUCUGAGCAGGUCACAGGGCAGAGAGAAGAGAGGCUGAGUCUGAAGUCCCCAUUGCUUACUGUCCCAUGAGGAUACAGGCGCACACGGAGGUCUUGCACACUGAGGUGAGCCUUGAUCAGAACUGUAUCGUUUAUGGUUAAGCCUUGACACCUCACUGUCGGAGUGAAUCCCUCCCACCAAUUGCUAGCGUGGACUCAGAUUCCAAUCUCCUCAAUCUGAUUGAAGGUAAAGCCAAGAAACUUCCACGAGGGCACAACUAUCUCCCGCCUGGCUUUCUCCUCUCCAUUUGGAGAGGUCUUCACGGCGUAGAAAAGCAGAAUUUCUGGUUUAUUUCGUAGCUCAAGGACAGUUCUCCCUUCCAGAAUCUUCCAUCCAUUUCCUCCCAAUUAUCUGUCACCCUGCAGCCUGAAAAUGCCCACCACUAAACACAGCAACAGAGAGGGAGUCACAUGGGGGUGGGGGUGUCAUGCCACUAUGUGCCUGGGCCUGCCAAGUCCUCAUGCCUACUCAGCCACAUGACUCUAGCGGCCGAUGGCCAGAGAGCUCUUCCUCCCCAAGCCCCUAACUGGUCAGCGCUGGUUUAUUCCCAGCUGUAGCCAGUUCUUCUCUUGCUGCUGCUGCUGCUGCUGCCAAGCACCCUGCUGGCUUCCAGCAGCCCGGCCUGGCCUCACAGUGGGUGGGGACAGUACUGGAGGCUGGAAAUGUGCCAGGGGCACAUCUGUCUUCCUGUGUGUCCAACUAAGGUCUCCCUGCUGAGGUGAGAGCUUGCCACUCUCCUACCUGGUGACACACGAGCUGCUGACCAGCUGCUCCACUCCAGGCUCUCCCUCCACCUCCCUUUGGCUGAUGCUCAAAGACCUGUGUGCACAACAGCAGCCGUGCUUCCCCAGACCCCAGGUCAGAGGUGCAGGAGGCAGACAGAGCGUCUCAGAGGAGCUCUCAGAUCCCUUAGAACCACGGGAGAUGAUACCACAGAGAGGCACUGAGGUGGUUCUUAGCCCUUGGAAAUGAGUCAGAGAGAUUCGCUACUGCUGGGCCCAGAGCUGCCUGUCUUCUACUUCACGUGUCCCUGAGUGGUUGCGUCAGUGAACAGGAGCUGGUGAAGAAGGACUAACAGAAUGGGCUGGGCCCGGGAUGGCUGAGGGGCACGAGCUAUAGUACACUGCUAGAAGUCAAACGACAGCUUUGGGAGUCAGUUCUCCCUUUCCCUUAUGCGUGCAUAUGUCCUGGGGACCAAACUCCGGUCAUCAGCGUGGGCGGCAAGCACUCUUACCAGCUGAGCCAUUUUGCCAGUUCCUCGGGACCACAGCAGGUGACCUGCUAUUCUGCUGGCUGCUUCCCACAUCCUAGAGUAUGUCUGCUGUAGUAAGAACCAACAACGGGAGAGCUUAAGACAUGCACAGCCUCUGCCCUUUUGCAGCUUUCUAUGGGCAGCUCCUAAAUGGUGAUGAAGAAGGGAACCCUCUACAGGAGCGUCCAAGGCCUCAGAGAAUGCAGGACCGAGGUACGUGGCCAAGGCUGUGGUGCGGAGGUUAGAAAAGCUGUUUUUCAUCCCAACAUCAUAAGGAGGAGGAGGGGAAAGAGAAGAAGAGGAGAAAGAGGAGAAGAAAAGGAGGAAGAAGAAGACAAAAUCUUCAACUCCCUCUUUCUCUCGGACGCCUUCAGGCCAGACUGGUUUGUGUUUGUUUGUUGUGUUUUUGUCUUGACUGGAUACCUUAAAGGAGAGCUGUCUAUGUCUUCUCCAUGAACAGCUUGGAGACCGGAAAGUUUCUUCAGCUAAACAGUGACCCUAAGACCCACACCUGCAGACAACCUCGCACCGCAAUCUCUCCUACUCUGAAAACUGAAGAGCAUUUAAGACAGGGUCUCUGUAGACCAGGUUGAACUCAGACUGCCAAGGUCAUCUGAGGAUGACCCCCUGAUUGUGAUUCUCCUACGUCCACCUCCAGAGUUUUUGGGGUUACAGAUGUGCUCCACAAUGCUCACUUCAUGCACUGCUGAGGACAGAACCCAGGGCUUUGUGUACACAAAGCAAGUGUUCUGCUAUCCCAAUUGCAUGCCCCUUGUCUCUUUUCAGAGCCUUAGCUUGGCACCUGGACAUCUUUGUCCUUCUGUGAUCUUUAAGGAUUUCCUAUUAGAUGGGGUUCACCCAUUCCACCCGCUUCUCAUUCUUUUCUUUUAAACCAGUGUUCCUAUAUUGAUGCCGGGUCCUGUGGGAGUGAAAGGACAUAGAUUCUGUCUGGGAUGGGGAGGUAGAUGGGAAGAAUGAGGCAGGGAGCAGGUCUGGGGAAGUUCAGUGCUGGAUCCGGCUUAUAGGGGAGCUGUCAGCAGCUCAGUACCUAGCAGUACUGGCCAAAUGGCAGCUCAGAGAGGAGGCCCAGAAGACCCAGAGAUUUGGGCUUUUGGAAGAGAAAUCGGGGGGGGGGACUGAGACUGAAAAAGUAGACAAGACUCAGUUACAAAGGCAGCCGGAGGUUCCUUAUAAGGGGCUGCAUUUAAUGCUACCUGCUCCAACGUGCUACAAGGAGGGGGCGAUCGUACUGCGGGACCGGAGCGUGACUGGCAACUAGAAAAACCCCUCCUGACUCGUGCUCUGGUAGCACUAGCCUCCGGGGAUUCUGGAUGUCUCUGGUGCUAUUCCCAGCCUGGAUGGGCAUCAUUUGGCCUGUUAGGGUUUGCCCUACCUUAGGGCUCUUGGGUGUCUGCUUCAAGUCCCAGAGGAGCUCAGCUGCCUGGGAGAUGACAGGCUGUGCUUUCCCAGAUCUAACAAGCUCUCUCUUCAUCAUGUCUUCUCACAUUGGAACCCCUUGUAAGGACACAUUUCAUCCUGGCUCUCGGUCAGCAGCUUCCUGCAGCUGCCCGAGGACCUUAUCGGCUGCUGUCAGAACAAGAGGCAGGACAAGAAUGGGGAGGCCUGUGGAUGGCUAGGUGUGGGUGCUUCAGAAUCAGCCCAUUUCUCCCCUCACAGCCUGUUAGCACCGUUGAGACGUAUCGGACCACAAAACGCACUGUUUGUAAACCCAAUAGAAAAGAGGAGGGGCUGGGAAGGAGGCGCCUGCUGUGGUUUGGCUGCCACAGUCAUGUGUUGGGCGCACUGGUUCCUAGUAUGGUGAUGCAUGUGAAGAGGCGGUGGGGUGCACCUAUAUUUUCAACACUCGGGACAGGGAGGGAGGAAGGUCACAGCAAACCAGAAAAAAAAGUGAGAAGAGAACAUGAACAGAGACUUCCACUAAAGGGGCUUCCGGCUUCUAAACAGCCUGGGGAGGUGGGUUCUCAGGUCCAGCGGUCAAGGCACACAGAGAUCACUACAGCUGUAGGAGAAGGGGACCCACACUGCGUCUUCAGCUGGCCUCAGAACCUGGCAGUGUCAAGGAACAGCUUGUGUUCUCGUGCUAAUUAUGUUGCCCAAAGACAGGCUUGCAGUGUCCUGCACAGAGGCUAAAGGAAGCCUGCCCCCAGUUGGCUCUGAUUGGGAAAUUAAGUUGCCAGUGGCCAAUGGCUGGGCAGGGAGACAGAGAUGGGACUUAGAGGAUUCCUGGGUGUGAAAUGCUGGGGAGAAAGGGAAGUUUACCUUGUGACUGGCCACCACUCCGGGAAGGGGUGUGUGUGUGUGUGUGUGUGUGUGUGUGUGUGUGUGUGUGUGUGUGGUGGGUGGGGGAGAUAGCCGGAAUGUAGGUACAAAGGGGAAAGUGACCCCAGAAGGGCUGCCCAGAGAGUCCGUGGGCAGCAAAGAUAAAAUUUAGAUUUAGUAAGUGUUAACUCAAGAAUAUCGGAGGGGAGUGCGUUAGCCUGGUGGAGGUUCAGGGGUGGCCCAACCAUUGAGCUAGUUAAGGCGUAUUAAAAUAUAAAGGUUUUGUGUGUGUGCGGCAAGCACCCACCAGGAGUUUAGAGAGGUUGCAAAUUAUUACCGCUACAGUGCCAUGCACAUGAGGCUGGUCUUGCAGGCAUGCAAAAAAGCCAAGAGAUAGCACGCCAUAGACGCUGUAUCAAUGUUCCAGAAAGUUGCCGAGGUCGGCUUCCCUGCAAGGAAGUCCCAAGGCACAGUUUCAUGAAGUAGAGUGUAAAGCAUCAGUUGUGGUAGCAUCUCCAGGAUGUUGGAGAUGCCAGGACCGAAGGACUUCUGUGGAGGCAAAAUGGAGGUGGGGGGCGGAGUCAGCCCAAGAGAGAUAGGCUAUGUGUGCUGUCCAAAACAGAACCAGAGGGGUGGAGCUACUCGAUGCCCUCUGUACCCAGAUGGUAACACCUCGAGCUCCAGAUGCUGGACGUAGAACAUCCAGUCUUUUCCCUGCUGGGUAUGUCUUGCAUUGGUUCAAACUUUCCCUGCUAUUCUUCUCAUCUCUCCCUUUUGGAAUGGGAAUAUUUACUUGAUCAAAUGUUGGAAGAAUGCAACUUGCUUAUUAAUUUCAACUUAAUUACUUAGACUUAACAGGAAAAUGGGAUGAACUUCGAAGGAGGAGCCUGGGUGGCAAGGAGUGAGCGUGUCACAGUUACCGGCCGUGUCUGUGAGGUCGUAAGUGAGCAGUGGGAAGAACUGUUCUGAGCGUGGAUGGCAUCAGCCCAUGGUUGGACGGAGAAGAGCCGAGCAGCAUUGGAUCACUUCUCUGUGCUUCUGGACUGCAGGGGCAACACGAGCAGCUGCCUCCUAGGCCUGCUGCCGUUUCUCUGUCGUGAUGGAUGGCACCUUCCAAGUCGGAGCCAAAAUAAACCUUCACUCCCUUAAGUCGUGUCUGUCAGGCAGUUUGCCAUAGUAACAAGAAAAUAAUGAAUGCAGGCUCUCACAAGCUCUCUCUCUCUCUCUCUCUCUCUCUCUCUCUCUCUUUCUCCUGCUUUUUUUUUUUUUUUUGAGGCAGGGUUUCUCUGUGUAGCUCUGGCUGUCCUGAAUCUCAAUCUGUAGACCAGGCUGGUUUCAAGAGCAGAGAUCACCUGCCUCUGCCUCUGCCUCUGCCUCUGCCUCUGCCUCUGCCCCUGCCCCUGCCCCUGCCCCUGCCCCUGCCCCUGCCCCUUCCCCUGCCCCUGCCCCUGCCUCCUCUGCCUCUGCCUCUGCCUCUGCCUCUGCCUCUGCCUCUGCCUCUGCCUCUGCCUCUGCCUCUGCCUCUGCCUCUGCCUCUGCUUCUGGAGUGCUGGGACUAAAGGUGCCUAACCAGACGUGGGAUUCUUUGAAUCAAUAUUGACAUCCAAACCAAGGUGUCUCUUUAGGGUCUUACGCUAAGGGCAAAGAAAUAGGCGAGCCACCCACCAUGCUAUGCUGUCCUUCUGGUAUGUGACUUCUUCCUCUGGGAAUGAGGCUCUCACAGAACAACCCACAGUGACCAUAUCACCAUUCAGAUACUCCCUCAUGAAUAUAGACCAGAGUCAGAGGAGACCAGGAGACGCCAGGGAAUUCAUAUACUCGGCUCAUGAUGGAGGUCCAUGGCUUUUCUCUCCCUUGGUCUUGGCUGAACUCUUCCUUACACCCUUAUGCACAUUUCCCCAUUCUUCCCCUAAAUCCAUCAAGAGGACCCUAGAUCCAUGCUAGCUGCAUCUCAGUUUGUGGGGAGGAUGUGCCAACCUGGUCCUGGCCAGCUCGGAAGCCUGGGCUCCGCUCUACUCCACAGGGAAAGUCAGCACCACUGUUCUGAGAUGUGAGAAUAAGGGCAGGUCUCCAAGAGAUCACAGGCCUCGGGGGCCAGGAAGGAAAUGGAAUCAGAAGUAGCCCGCCAUCACAGAGAACAUGUGACAUGUCUCCUAGUCUCUUUAGGUCUCUGUCAUCUGGAAGUUAACCAGUAGCCAAUCAUCUUUUCACAAGCACCUCCGAGUACCAUCUCUGAAGUAGGGUUAUUCACAGACCCCACGGAGUUGCUAUAACCAAGAGGAAGAGGGGUCUCACAAAUGGUGGGUUCUCUUCUCUCAUCGACUUAAGAAAGAAAAGCCUCUUUGCUUGCUCACAGCCUACAGUGUGAGCCCUCAGCUUCCUUCCUCAGGGCUACCUUGUCAGGAAACCCCAGCCCGCAUGAGAACUGUCUUAGCUUGGUUUCCUGUAGUUGUGGUAAAACAAGCUGGCAAAAGCAACUUAGGGGAGAAUGUUUAGCUCACAAUUCUGGCUGCAGCCAGUCAUUGCUAGAAAGUCACAGCAGCAGGAGCGUGGGAGAACUGGUCACAGGACAGCCACAGUCAAGAACAGGGAGCGAUGGAUGCGUGCACAAUGGAUGCGUCAUCAGUUGGCUCUCUUUUCCGUUCAGUCUAGGGUCCAUCCCAUGAAAUGCCACCUCCCCCACUCAGGGUGGGUUUUUCCCACUUCAAUUAACCCAAUUAACAAAUCCUUCUCAGGCAUAGGCACGAGCCAAUCUAACUUAGAUAACUCCUCGUUGAGACUUCCCAGCUGACACUAGACCGCGCCAAGGUGACAAUUAAAACUAGUUAUCACAGGAGCCUCAGAGGUGACUCUGGGCGUGAUGUUCAAUGGCCCAUCUCCUGAUCCUCAUUGGCCUCCGGCUUUCUCCAUCCCUUCUGGGCUCAGAGAGUUCUUCAAGGGUAGCACAGCUUCAACCUUGCCUCUUCCAGUUCAGGGCUGCAGAACUGACGGGAUUUUCCAGGCUUCCUGCCGAGAUUCAUAAUUGAACCGAGCCAGAGAGAUUUCCCCGACCAAUAGCCGUCUUCUCCCUCAGCACUGGGGAAUGGUGUUCUCUGUGAUUUCUCUUACUUGUAUCUGCUCCGUAACUACUGCUUGGAUGAAAGCUUGGUUGCCAAGGGUUGGGUUUUUUUUUUUCCUUUUCCUCUUUGCUUCUUCUUUCUUUUUAAUGAGGAACAAAUACGGGGCUUGGAGGGGGGCGCAAAAAGCUCUCUGCAGAAUCCAGACUUUCCCGUUGCUUCGCUUCCGCAGAUCUCUAGGAAGUUAUGCCCCAAUAAUCUGAGAGGUUUGACUGGAGGUCCUUCGUGGGGGAGGGGGAGUCAUAGUGGAGCCCUAGGGAGGGGCACCUUCAUCUCUUUCACCUUACACAUUAGGAACCCGAGGCCCGGAGGGGUGAUGGCCAUUUCCAUGGUGACAGGCUAGCUGGUGGACUGGCCAAGCCUGGGCUCUCUAGUUGAUCUCUGGACCUUCAAGGUGACACAAGGGUUUUGCAAGGUCACUGAUCCUGGCGUACAGUAAGCGCGUCAAACACGCUAUGAGCUGCCAUAGCUGGGUGACCAGGGGGCAGCUGUUCUACCAGAGAGCCAAGUUUGCCUGCCUCUUCCCCAGCACGGCCAUGGAGUCCUCCUUGUCCUCAUAUGGUCAUGACAUGGUGACGUUUAAAACGAGCGGCUUGCCUGACUCUUAGGCGGCCCCUCGCGACGACUGUUUUUCCUCUGGCCCUACUGCUAAUGGACUGACAAGAGCAGGCUGCAGCUGAACACUAAACCUUGCAAAGCCCUUUGCUAAGCUCUUCCCAAUUUUCCGUUUAAGCCUUAAAAUUGCCUGAAGAAGCAGGCUAGGGAUAUAGCUUAGUGGUAAAGGGUUUGUUGGCAUGCGCCAAAGCCCUGGGUUCGGUACCUAAUAUGAUACCUCUCCCCUACCCUCCCAAAGAAGUAGGGACUCCUGUAAACCUGUUACACACAAAGCAGGUUCAGAGAGGGCAGGGAAUUUUUUAGCAGAGUGGCAAGGAGCCUCUAGGACCAUAGUUCCGGACCUCUAUGCUAUCCUGAAGAAUUCUGCAGAAGAGGAAGGAGGUAGAAGGGGCAGUGUUGGAAGGACGGACAUAUCUGCCAAGUCACUGGUGCCUUCCAGCAGCCAGGCAAAACUGAGAUAGCUCAGAUCUGCUCUCUGACUACACCUGGGGCCGGGGCAGCAAUUUCAGCCAAACAGAAACCCAAUUCAAACAUGAUUUUCAAUGCCUGCUCCCCACACCUGUGGCCCAGAGUGCCAAGUAAACACGGUUAUCAGCUGGAGCCCUGUUGCCUACCUGUGCUUCGGAGGGGAGCCACCAGCUUCAUAAGCUUGGAUGAGACCUCAGAGCUCUGGGCUCAUCAGCCACACCUGAUGCCCACAUCCUCUGUCCUGGCUUCCUGGAAACCCCAAGUCCUGCCAGUGUCAGUCCACUUGGCUGUUUUCCAGGAAGAGAGUCACUAUUUUUGGCCCUUUCACGGUCCACUCCCUACAGCAGCAGACAAAUGUUUCCUCAUCUUGCCCAGGAUGGAUCCCCCAACACGGAAAAGCAGAUGUCCAUUCACUCAUGAACUUAGCCUUGAAUUCAAGUCAGUAUUUACAUGGCUACAGUUUGUCAUGUACCAGGUGCCUGACUGUGUGUGUGUGUGUACAUGCACGAGUGCCUCAGCUGUUCUAGCCUUGCCUUUAGCUUGGCACUGACUUAGUGACUUGACCAAGCCAAGGCAGCCAUUGGGAGAAACUGACAUCACAGCUGAGCCUCAAGAAGGGUCAGGAAGUCAAAGACCAAGUAGCUGUUCCAGAUACAGGGAACACACGGUAGAGCUCAGGGACAGAGGCCGGUAUGUCUGAGCAGGUAAAAGAUGUCGAUGAACAUAGAAAGGUGUGGAGAGGAGAGAGAGGUGGUCCAGAGGCUUUGUAAACCCUGGGAGCCAUGACAGUUAAUAAACCAGCUUUUGGUCCUCCAGAAUCAGGGACAGAGAAGCAGAGGGAUCAGACAGAAUCCAGAUUCUGAGACAGGUUUUCGUGGAAGCUCGCCUGCUGAUUUGGGACAGAGAGGAUUCCCUGGUAUCUCCCCAGCUCUGUCCACCAUCUAACUACCCAUCCCCCACUUCCAAUACCCUUGGCUUACGGCCACAGUAGCUUUCCUGAUACCUUUUCCAGAGUAUGUCCAUACUCAAGCCUCCAAUGCCCCUCUCUUCCACAGUUUGUCCUCAAGGCCAAUACACCCCAGGCUCCCUCUCGGCAGUGCCAGACCAGGUGUUGCUGUCUGUGGUGCCCUUCCAUAUUCAUUCACCCCCAGUCUCAGCUCCCUCUGCCUCAGCUUCUUCUAGGAAGUUUGGAGCUAAGGCUUGGGGGUUUUGCUUGCCCAAAGAGGAAAAAAGUAUAGAGAAUGUAAAAGCCAGCUUCCCUCCCUCCACACACAGGCACAGCAGGCCUAUGAGCUGCAGGCUUUGGAGGGGCUGGAGGCAGAGAAGACAGGCUGGCUGGAAGCCAGGCUGCAGAGAAACCCCUGGGAACAGAGCAGAACAAUUGCCGUUGUGAGUUAAGCAGGCCAUUUAUGGGGAGGAUAAAAGUUAAUGAGAAGCUGUACUUCAGCCCCCACCAUUAAGCAAGAGCAAACCCUGGCAAAUACAGCACACAAAGGGGUGGAUUUGAAGCAGCAGCCUGCUCAGCAGAGGGCAGUGCCAUGGCGGCCUGCUGGCGUGGGGACGGGGCGGGGCUCCACAUCCAUCACCUGAUUAGGAAGGUGGUCAAGGUUUGGACCUCACUGAUUUCAUCUAAAUUCUCCAGGUGGCUUCUUAAUCUAUUACCCAAUGUCUCCUUUCUAGCAACAGUGGAAGCUGGUUGGGGAAGGAGGUGAGGGCUCGUCACUAAUGCAUCUAGAUCAGCGGUCUCCACAUCAGAUAGUGAUGAAGUAGUAACGAGGAUAAUUUAUGAUUGGAGGUCAUCACAUGAUGGACUGUAUUGAAGGGUCUUAGCAUUAGGAAGGUCGAGAACCACCGAGUUAGUAAAGCUUUGUUCAGUCUCUGUCCCGUUGGUCAGGGCAAACUUAAAGCCUUGGCUGUUCUGACAGUUUGCACUAGUCCAGGCUUCUCGUUACCUUCAGAGCUGAGAAAGAGGCAUGGAACCAAAGCCUGAGGUCGUGUGGGCACCAAGUCUUGCUCCGAUGACACUGGCAACGACAAUACCAGCAUGUGGCAUCUCAUGGGGACGUCACUUCUGACCGUCUUAUUUCUUUUGGACCUUGUUGUGAUCCCCACAUUACAAAAGGAGAAACUGAGGCCUCCCGGAGGUUCACCAGGUGUAGGGCAGUGUUUAGAACAGGAGUGCUCAGACCACACCGCUCUCCCCUCUCUGGUGGCAAAUGCACUCGCCUGCACACAGGUACCUGGUGGUUAAGAGGGUUAACAAUGCCCAGCAUGUAAGACGGGAUGUUCCACGCCAUCUCUCAGGAGUGAGAUUCUGAACCACACGAGGUGCCCAAGAAUCAAGGAGUCUGGGUCUCUUUGGAAAUGUGCUUAUUUCUAAAGAAAAAUAUCACCAUCAUUACUGGUGGUGGUGGUGGUGGUGGUGGUGGUGGUGGUGUGUGUGUGUGUGUGUGUGAUGGAGAGGGUAUAUAUGCGCUCUAGAAUGCAUGUGGAGCUCAGAGAUACUAGUUCUGUAGAAGCUACUUUUAUGAGGGUUCCAGGGGUGGAAUUCAGGUUGCCAGGGGAAAAUCUGCAGGGCCAUCUAGCCAGCCCUGGAGUGUGUGUGUGUGUGUGUGUGUGUGUGUGUGUGUGUGUGCCCGUGUGUGUAGGUAUGUGUGUUUGUGUGGGUAUAUGUGUGUGUGUGUGUUUAUAUGUGUGUGUAGGUAUGUAUGUGUCUUUGCGUGUGUCUGUGUUUGUAUAUGUGUGUAGGUGUGUGUGUGUGCGCGCACACACGCACGUGUGUUUGUUUAUUUGCCUUCCUUGUUUUUCCAUUUCUUUUUCUUUUUGUUUUUUUUGUUUGUUUGCUUUUGUUUUUGUUUUUUUUUUGGUUUUUUUUUUUGUUUUGUUUUUUUUUAGGUCAAAGUUUUAUGUAGUCCAGGUUGGCUGGGAUUUGCUAUAAAGUCAAAAAUAACCACAAACCUCUCUGAUCAUUCUGUCUCCAUCUCUCAGGUUCUGGGAUAACAGGCACACACACACACACACACACAAACACACACACACACACACACAUCUCCCCUAACUCCCAGAGGUGCAUUUCCGGGGGACUCCCCCCUUUGUCUAUCCACCAGCCAUUUUUACAUCCCAGUGUUGCCUCCUUCCUGGUCCUCUCCUGGCCUCACUGCCCUGCCCCAUUUUGGAUCUGCCAGGGUGGUUUGGUGACACGGACUUCAAUGCUGCACUUGACUUCCCAGCUCCUGCAGGAGCAGAUGUGGGUGCCAGGCUUCCUCCUGCUCUCCAGUCCUGCCGUGGACACCACCCUCCAGCCACACUGCUCUAGGCACAGCCCUUGUCAGACACUAAGCUGUUCCCAAGCACAUCCUGUUUGUCUUGACCCCUGCUACCACAUUUUGCAGACUUUCGAAGGUCAUCAGGGAGGGUGUUACACCUUUUCAGAACCCUCCUGGGCUCUAUCCCUUCUCCCUUUUCGUAUAUCCAGCCCUCUGUGUAAUCAAGUUCUGCAUCAAUAGAGUCAGUCAACCGUCGGUCAAAAAUAUUCAGGGGAAAAGUGCAUUUGUACUGAACAUAUACCGUCUCUUACCACAAUUGCCUAAACAAUACAUAUGUAUUAUUACACAUAUAAUACAAAUGCAUUAAAUAAUGCAAAAAUAUAUAGUAUUAGGAAUUAAUUGCAUGCUGAGAGUCACACACGGAGAUGGCUUUGUGCAAGUGAUACGCAAAUGCAUAGCUGUUUUGCAUGAGGAACUUGAGCAUCGUCCUUGACUUUGGUAUCCCUGGUCGGUUGGGGUUUUGGGGGCGGGGAGAAUCCAUCUUUUAUGCACACCUUUAACCAUUGGAGACUCUUGCAUUACAUAUAGUUAAAUUAUGCUUCCACCCCUAAGCCAGAGGCCUUGGUCUGACAUAAUUUGUCUUUGAGUCUCUGUUUGAUGCAUGUUGAUGUGAAGCAGAGGCGGCCUGUGAAGCUGGGGCACCGGUUUUUCCUGAGCCCCGGCUUCUGCGCUCAUGUGCAAAAGAGAGAAGGAAAUGCUCACUCUCCACUCUUCUCCCUUUCUCCCCGCAGUAGCGGAAUAGCCCAGGAACCAGAAUACCAAACCUGGACAGAGAAAGUCACGGAGAGGACAUCAAUGUCUGUGACCAAGAGAUGACAAUGGAAGGAGUGGCUUGUCACUGGCCUUUCUUCUGAGCCCACUGAUCAAUGCUGGAAGACCAAGUAGAUUGUAACAUGAUAAAUACGAUGUUCUGGAGGUGAACCGAAGGAUUCAAUGUGAUCAGAUGAGUAGGUGUGCGUGCGUGCGUGUGCGUGCGUGUGUGUGUGUGUGUGUGUGUGCGCGCGCGCGCAUGCACACACGUGUUCAUGGGUGCACAUGUCUGCUCAAACAUGUUGAGGCUGGAGGUCAACCUUGGGUUUCAUUCCUUAAGAACAUCACUUUGCUUUUGAGAGGCAGUGUCUCUCACUGGGCAAUUAGGCCUGCUGAUUUGGUUAGGCUAAUGGGCCAGUGACACAUAGGCCUGUCUCCAUCUCCCCAGCUCUGGGAUCACAAGCGCAUGCCAUCAUGCCUGGCUUUUAACAUGCUCUGGACACGGAACCCAGGUCCCUAUGCUUCUACACUAAAUACUUAUUUGACCGAGCUAUGCCACCAACCUACAUUUUAACUGAUUUCAACGUCAAAGUGAGAUAACCACCAUUAAGCAGGCUGGAUAGAUCGCUCCAAGAACACAGAAACGCCAGGGAUCUCUCUGCAUCCUGUUUUCGACACGUCUCGCCCCCAGUCCCUGCGGUCUGGCUGUUUGUGGAGUGAUACAGGUCAACCCAAGAUGGCGGCAAACUGCAGGUGGAUCCCAAGACUAAAACCCUGCCGGUCCUUCUGUUCUGCCCCUUUUCAUGCUCCUUUUGCUUGGCUGGAACUCAAAAGCCAGACUCCUCAGGCAUGGCGAGAGGCCACCUUGUGACCGCAACGCUUUCAUUAUUCAUUAAGCCAUCUUCCCUCCUGCUUGAAAUCCGGGUUUAGCCACAUGGUCUACGCAUCUUCAGUUCUCUCGCAGCCCUCCCCGGGUCACGGACAGAAGGCAGCGCUUCAGACAUCAGCUGCAAAAAUGCAGUUUGCCAAGGUGCUGCAAAGCAGGUCAGCGGCCCGGGCGCUGUGGCCGGGAGCCAGCUCCGUGUCCACUGAAGCCUGAAUAUUUUACACCUAGUGACUCUGAGUUACAGGAUUUAAGAGUUUCAGACACCAGAUUAAACUUGAUUUGAAAGUGGCCCUGGAGGACAUUUGUUAAAGAAAAAUAAAGAUGCUAGAUGCUAGAUGGAGUCUAACGUCCUCUGCAUGGUGGCUCGGUCUACGUACAGUCUAAGGCUGUGUGCUUCUGGAAAUGUCCAGGUGCCAGCUCCUGCCUUCUCUACCUUACCUCAGAGAUGUUGGCAACCGGCCCCUCCCCUGACACCUUCUUUUUAGGUGUCUGUGUGUGGCGUGCGUGCAAGUUCUCAUAGGUGGGUACAUGUGUGUGCACAUGCACAUGGAAGCCAGAGGUCGAGACCAAGAGUCUUAAUCGCUCUGUCAUCUAGUUCAUCAAGGCAGGGUCUCUCAGUCAAACCCAGAGCUCACCAAUGAGACUAGCUGGCUAGCUCCAGGGAUUCCGUCUCAGCUGGUAGAGACUGAAAUUACAAACGGGCUGCAUGUCCACCUGGCAUUUGCUUGUGCAACAAGUACUUUUGCCCCUGAGCCAUGUCCCCAAGCAACGGCACUCCGAACUGCCAAGUUUGUACUGUCAAAAUGAUCUGCUGACUUGUACCAAUGGAUCCAAUAAAUCUGGGAGAUGA